RNAcentral lists this ribosomal RNA (395 nucleotides) under uncultured bacterium. Its description in RNAcentral is "partial 16S ribosomal RNA". It matches the Rfam family "Bacterial small subunit ribosomal RNA", at positions 523 to 917 of the family's 1533-position model. The record is from RNAcentral.
AUACAGAGGGUGCAAGCGUUAAUCGGAUUUACUGGGCGUAAAGCGCGCGUAGGUGGCUAAUUAAGUCAAAUGUGAAAUCCCCGAGCUUAACUUGGGAAUUGCAUUCGAUACUGGUUAGCUAGAGUAUGGGAGAGGAUGGUAGAAUUCCGGGUGUAGCGGUGAAAUGCGUAGAGAUCUGGAGGAAUACCGAUGGCGAAGGCAGCCAUCUGGCAUAAUACUGACACUGAGGUGCGAAAGCAUGGGGAGCAAACAGGAUUAGAUACCCUGGUAGUCCAUGCCGUAAACGAUGUCUACUAGCCGUUGGGGCCCUUGAGGCUUUAGUGGCGCAGCUAACGCGAUAAGUAGACCGCCUGGGGAGUACGGUCGCAAGACUAAAACUCAAAUGAAUUGGCGGG